CAUUUGUUGUCGUGUUUGAAGAUGUAGUUGAGAAGUCAAGUUACAAGAUCCGACAAUGUCAGAGAUAUCACAUUCCCUUGGUUCAGAGCCUGUACAUUGAUGACUGCAUGUCACAGAAUAAACUUCUUACAAAAAUAAAAUACAUAGUCAGCGGACUACCAGAGAAUGAUAACUUCAAGAAAGGAAAGAUAGUUGGUAAAAAUCCACAAGGUUUGAUCAAAAGAAAAAAGAAAAAGGUACAAGUUAACCUAAAUAACAUGAAAUGUUGGACAUAUACAGAUCCAGGGGCUCCCUAUGAUCCAGAUAUUCCUUAUGUCCUAGCUAAAUGGUGUUUACUAAAG
Long non-coding RNA from Mytilus trossulus (common blue mussel), 341 nucleotides. RefSeq lists it as uncharacterized. The record is from RefSeq and is a predicted model, not a curated record. NCBI's taxonomy places the organism in Eukaryota, Metazoa, Mollusca, Bivalvia, Mytilida, Mytilidae. The transcript is spliced from 2 exons.